This 253-nucleotide ribosomal RNA is filed under the name uncultured bacterium. Its description in RNAcentral is "partial 16S ribosomal RNA". It matches the Rfam family "Bacterial small subunit ribosomal RNA", at positions 524 to 776 of the family's 1533-position model. The record is from RNAcentral.
UACAGAGGGUGCAAGCGUUGUUCGGAAUUAUUGGGCGUAAAGGGUGCGUAGGCGGGUCUUUAAGUCAGGGGUGAAAUCCUGGAGCUCAACUCCAGAACUGCCUUUGAUACUGAGGAUCUUGAGUUCGGGAGAGGUGAGUGGAACUGCGAGUGUAGAGGUGAAAUUCGUAGAUAUUCGCAAGAACACCAGUGGCGAAGGCGGCCCACUGGCCCGAUACUGACGCUGAGGCACGAAAGCGUGGGGAGCAAACAGG